CGCCCUAUUGGCUAGUUGGUGAGGUAAUGGCUCACCAAGGCUACGAUGGGUAGGGGUUCUUAGUGGAAGGUCCCCCACACUGGCACUGAGAUACGGGCCAGACUCCUACGGGAGGCAGCAGUAGGGAAUAUUGGUCAAUGGGCGCAAGCCUGAACCAGCCAUGCCGCGUGCAGGAUGAAGGCUCUCUGAGUUGUAAACUGCUUUUGUACAGGAGCAAAAAAAUCCCUGCGGGGGUUCUUGAGAGUACUGUAAGAAUAAGCACCGGCUAAUUCCGUGCCAGCAGCCGCGGUAAUACGGGAGGUGCAAGCGUUAUCCGGUUUUAUUGGGUUUAAAGGGUGCGUAGGCGGCUUAUUAAGUCAGUUGUGAAAUCCUAGUGCUUAACGCUAGAACUGCGAUUGAUACUAUU
Molecule: ribosomal RNA, 406 nt
Filed under: Candidatus Cardinium hertigii
Lineage: Bacteria; Pseudomonadati; Bacteroidota; Cytophagia; Cytophagales; Amoebophilaceae
Description: bacterial SSU rRNA
Rfam family: Bacterial small subunit ribosomal RNA
Source: RNAcentral